AAUGCGGCAGGGUCAAACUUUUAGAAAAUCAAUUGCGACUUUGUUGCAGAAAAGAAGUCACGGCAAAUCCCAAAAAGAAUAUAACAAAAUAGAGUAAUAAGACGGAGCCUCAGGUUUUCAACUCGGAUCAUCAUCUUGGAGUUAUCAGAGCUUCAAUUUCGCCGACGAUUGUGCUUCCGAUCGAACUCAAUCUUCGGACCGGUGACUAGGGUUUCUCCGCAGGUUAAUCUUCGAUUCCGCCGACUCGAACCUCGAACUGCCUUCUCAUACUGGUUGGACUCACUUCGCUCUGAUUUAGGACUAAUGCUCAUUUCAUUCGUUGACCAAAGACUUCGAAAUUAAUUCAUAAUUCAACCUCCAUUUUCUAGGGUUUCGUAUGAAGCCCCAACUUAGAAAUUUCAAUAGUCAUGGUUGCAAUCUUUGAAUCACCUUUAUUGUCUGGAUUGCUCUUACCACCAGUCGAUGGCAUCAAGUGCUCCACUUGAAGUUGGAGUCAAUGCUCCUCUACUUGGACAAACCUUUAAAUUUAAAAUGUAUGCAUUUUGGUAAUUAAAGUGAUAAGAGUCGAAAGCAUAGGUUUUUAGUGA
This is a long non-coding RNA of Vitis vinifera (wine grape), 587 nucleotides long. RefSeq lists it as uncharacterized. The transcript has 2 exons. Lineage: Eukaryota; Viridiplantae; Streptophyta; Magnoliopsida; Vitales; Vitaceae. The record is from RefSeq and is a predicted model, not a curated record.